UUUCCCUCACCGUCAUUCCAGCCUUCCAGAGAUCGCCGGCCGGUAAGCCGGUGAUCGAUGAGGUCACAUGGCGUUAGCUCAACCAACGCCUCAACAACUCUUCUACGAGCACGCCACGCCACGCCACGCCACUCAUGUACAGCAGCAGCUAGCACACGCACCACUGCAGUGCAGUGCGCCCUUUUUUCCUUGGUGCUAAGGCGGCGGCCAUGUGUCACCCUCACCAACUCCGGCGCGCGGGCCAAACGACGAGCGGCUGGGCAGCGAGAACUCUGCUCACCUGCUGCUGCAUGCGCGCGAGUGGGUGGUUUUACUCCUUUGUUAAUUAAUCGUGCGCCCCGCUAUCUCAUGGGUCAGCUUCAGAUCCGAAGCCGUUGGACUGCUCGUUCUUUGAUGAUUUUUUUGAUGGCCCGUUUGGAGAGAUUACUGCACGUGCUAUUCUGUUUUUUACCUAGAGUAGAAGUUAUCGAGCUUUGAUGUCGAUACUUCGAUGAUGAGUAAUUGGCACAUCACCGAAUGGUAACCUCGAUCGUCUUCCUUAGCCUUUUUUUUUUUAACUUACAAUCUUUUCAAGACUUUUACUUGCUCUCUUUUAAAGGAACUUUUAGUUUUCCAACUUUCAGUCUUUAGAAAAGAGCUUUCAAUGUUUUCCCAACUUUUUCUUAAAGAACUUUAAAACUUUUGAAAUGAGGUUUCCAGUUUUUUUUUUCCAACUUUCACUCAUUUAGAAAGAACUUUUAAUUUGCGCAGAACAUCUCGUUUCAAGAACUUCCAUAUUUCCAAACAAAAUUUCCCUAACAAAUCUAGUUGACUUUUGAUCAGAACGGCGAAGCUCGGCCAGCUUUGACUGCAUCGUGAAACUAGCGAGGCUAUGUAUUCCUAGAUCUGUCAGGCUGGAUAUGAAACGGUCAUCCAACUCUCUUCGUCACCUUCUUUUCCGAGACGGUGGACUGUUCUCAGAUAACUGUCAUCGGCGUCUUUUGGUUUCUACCGGCGACUUCCCGACUGCUAUGUCAACAACGUUUCUCUGAUUUCGAUGUGGUUAAGAGGUACAUAGGCAUCGUCGAGCUUCACUUACGGCAUGCCACUGGCGUGUGUAGAAGAAGAUCACGAUGUACCACACGGACUUGCUAUAAUUUUGUUUUACUUUAAAGAUUGUUUUUGUAAAGGUUGGUUUCCCUUUAAUAUAUUGGCCUUGGCCUCUCGGAAAAAAGUACUUGGCCGUAGUGCACGGAGUACUAUGGAGUAAUCUAGGAUUAAUUACGUGAUAAAAACGCACCGAUACAUGAGUAUCUCUAGGGUACUCUUGCUUCGAAAUUAAAAAACUUCUUGGAACUUCAAAUUUUCGUUCGAGAACACCUCUUGCUUAGGACACCGUGCUAAUUGUCUGUUUCAGUUAAAGACAAAUCGUGUUGAGUACCCAAGAAAUUAACUAGAAUUCCUCUCUGCAUCUCUAUGCCACAGCUUUGUCUUCCCAUGCAGUAUUCGAAUUGACUUGAGCUGGUCAUUAAUAUUUCCUCAUUGGGAUUCCGAGUAGACUUCAACAGGGGUCCGUGUUUAAGAUUCCAGCUGCUUUUGGUUAUGAAUUCCACGGCGAGCCAGCAUCCCUCCGAGUUCUUUUGUUUAAGGAGGUUGUCUGACAUUUCUGCACGGAAAUUUGAAGCAAAAAAAAUAAGAAGAACCGAAUUUACGGGUGAUAAACGAUCGUGUUAUUGAUUCCAGGGUAAAUAAACAUACUGAUUGUUUUUAGGGCAAAAUAAACAGGAGUACUAAUUUUAUUUUAUUUAGAACUUCUGAUGAGUGCUUGGGAAUGGGACAGGUGACGUCCGUGCAAAGGCAAAAAAAAGAAUUUUGAGCAAAAGUAGCAAAGGCAAAUAUCUCUCUGGUCUAGGCAGGCAUAACUACUAGACCCAUCCAUAAGGCCCAUUAAUUUAAAUAUGGGCCGCUACAUCCUGCUGCUUGGGCUUUGCCCUGAUUGUGUUAUUUUUUCGAGGAAGACCCACAUUGUGUGACGUCCGUUCUCACAGUCAGACAGAGCGGUCCGUCCCAUGCCUCUCCACGCACGAACGCGGCAAUGGCGCCCGCAGCCCCUCGUACUUCCCAAAAUCCCAAGUUCCCAGCUCUUUCCCCCAAUCCCCGAUCCCAUCUCCUUCUCCCCGAUCCCAUCCCCGAGCCGCCGCCACUCCCAUCGUGCCCGCAGCCCCCUCUCCUCCGCCGUCGCGCCGCCCCCGCCUCCGCUCUGCCCCUGUCCCUGCUCUCCUCCGCCCCCGCCUCCCCUAUGCUCCUUCGGCGAUGGCCGACGGUGAAUCGGAUACGGAUCGGCGCUGCUGCGCGAGAUAACGGUGGAGGGGGGCUUCGCCUUCGUGGAAUCGGCGGAGAAGGAGGCAGCGGGCGACCUCCGGGCGGAGGAGGCGUCACGGGAUAUGGCGUGGGAGCAGCUACACUCGCGGUCCUGCAGUGAGGUUGGCCACGCGUGGAGUGACGCCUACGCGCUGGCGUGCCUCCACAUCGCUCGGCUCCGCCGGCUGCCGCCGACCGCGCCCCCUGCGCUGGGGGCGCUCGACAUGGACGUCAUCCAUCUGCCCACAUAGAGCCGCCGUCCACCGCGCCGACGCCGCCCUCCUCCCCCGCUCCGUCCGCCGGCACCGCCGUAAUUUGCACGUCAGCCGCCACCGCGCAACGGCGAUCCGCGCAACGCGCAUCCUCAGCCGCCGUCGGACCGCCGCCGCACGUCCUCCCGCUGGCGCUGAUAAUGAUCGACUGCAAUCGGCUGCAAAAAGAGCUCGCCGAGUGGCAGGUCGGCCCUCCCACUGGGUUCAAGUACAAGAUUUUUUUUGGAGUUUUGGGGGUUCCUACUGAUUGAUAAUGGAGCUUGUGGAGCUUGUGAUGAUUAAGUAAACUGGUGGGUGAUCUAGGUGGGCAGAGCGGCCAGUCGAUUUCCCCGAGCAUUAACCCAUGGAGGCACCUCAGGCGAGGUCAUUUUCUUCAACCCAGCGCCGAUGCAUGAAUACAUCCACCCAUUAAUUCGAUGGGAUUAAUCUGAUGGUUUGUGAAGGCAAAGUUUGAUCCAUUCAGCUGAUCGAUGAAAGAGGUGUGGCUGGAUGGAGGAGGUAUCCUGUGAAGAGUUCGGUACAGGAGACGGCACAUCUUGAUGAUAUUUUUCGGGACAUUCAGGACAAUGAUGCCAAAUCGACCACAAUGAAUUUUUAACGAUAUAUGAUGCAUAAUGGAAAUAAUCCACUAGGACAAAAGGGACGGGCGCAGAUGAGCUUUGGUCUUAGGGAAGCAUUGAAGCUUGGCUAAUGUUAACUGGUGUGCACUAUCUUCCCACUUUUCUCUCUUCGUGCUAGAUGCUUUAUGUGGUUAUCUUCUCUCUUAACAAUCAUUGUUUGCUGUUGGUGGCAUGGUCAUUUGAUGCCCUAAUGAUAGCAAUGCUCGAUGGACCCUCAACCAAUAUAUUUACUUCUUUGAAUUUGUAAAUAAGUGCAAAAAUCUGGCACCUUUCUUGCCUGCACUUAUAAUCAAUCAGAGUAUUAAACCAACUGAAGAUUGGUUCAGGUUAAGAUCUGAAGUAGUCACUAUAUUAGCUAUUGUACUGUAGCAUAACUGAAAAUAUAAUAAGGGCAUCUACAUGGGAGUACAGAGUUUAGAAUUGCUGGGUAAAUAAAAAGAAGGGGGUUUCCCUCUGCAUGUCAUGAGUUCAGUUGACUCAGUGAUGUAUGUAAGGUCUAAUUUUUUAGCCAAAUUCCCAAGAAGGACAAACCAAAACAAAGCCUCGUUAGAACCGAAGAACAUGACCGAGGAUGCGUGAGACAAAGUACCAAUGAUGAAAUCAUGGUCCACAUAUGGGGAUACAGGGAUUAGAAAAGGAGAAAAAAACAUACGUUAGAAACAUUUAUUGAGAUGAGGCUAGCCAAGGCAUACAUGGUUAGCCGUAGCAACGCACAGGCUCCUAACUAGAGAUUUCAUCACCAUUCUAAUUUUAUGUUUCACUUAUAAAGCAACAUGCCGGCAUCUUGACAUGCUAAGUUCUUCUCUACUUUUCCUUCCUGGAAUUCUUCAACUAUAAUUUGUUUUGUCUUAUCUAACUGGACUCGAAUACUUUACUGCAGAAAAAAGGAGAAAAAGUGGAAUUCUUCAACUAUAAUUUGUUUCCUCCAAACAUUUGUGUAGUAUUUCCCCUUCUCUUAUAAUUUGACAAUCUUUUCAUUGGCCUAUGUUUGAAUCUGACUUGUGCUAACAGAAAUGUACUACUCCGUAUGUACUUUCAUGUUUGAAAUAUGAGGUUGCUCUUUUUGAAACAACCGUUUUUUUCCUCCAAAUCUCGCUAACCUCAUUAGGCCCCUGAUGUGUAGAGCCACUGUUCAGAGAAUAUGUUGCUUGAGUGGUUAGGAAAGGUGGGUGAGCUUGGAUUGGCAAUGGCUGGAGAAAGAAGUCUCGGAGAAAGAAAAAAGAAUAGUGGAUUAUUGAAUUUAGAUUCAACCGUUCAAAUUGUGACGGUUGUUUUACUACAGGAAUAGUCACAGCCUCACAAGACUAGUCGUCUCAUGCACACAUGUUCUAAAUGAUAUAUGUAUGGUAACUAAUUUCUUGGCAACUCAAGGGGUAAUUUCAGUGAGGGUGAAUGAACCAUCACCAUCUCAGAUCUUUAUAAGAGUAAAUAUUUUGUAUUCUCAGCUA
Brachypodium distachyon (stiff brome) is the source of this 4680-nucleotide long non-coding RNA. RefSeq lists it as uncharacterized. The record is from RefSeq and is a predicted model, not a curated record. Lineage: Eukaryota; Viridiplantae; Streptophyta; Magnoliopsida; Poales; Poaceae. The transcript is spliced from 7 exons.